This is a long non-coding RNA of Siniperca chuatsi (mandarin fish), 4755 nucleotides long. RefSeq lists it as uncharacterized. Lineage: Eukaryota; Metazoa; Chordata; Actinopteri; Centrarchiformes; Sinipercidae. The transcript is spliced from 3 exons. The record is from RefSeq and is a predicted model, not a curated record.
UAUAAAGAGUAUUGUCUAGACCUGCUCUAUAGGAAAAGUGCAAUGAGAUAACUUCUGUUAUGAAUUGCCACUAUAUAAAUAAAAUUUAAUUGAAUGGGUAGAUGAAGUACUGACAGACCAUUGUGCAACAAGUUUGGUCCAUACCCUAUGCCCACCACACAAACGGUGUAGCUGAGAGACCAGUUAGAGCAGCAAAAGAGUGGAUCAUUAAGAAUGCUCCCACUGAUUGGAAUGAACCUCUAAAAUUGACCCAGCUAAAUUUGUUGCUGAACGAACCAAAAUUAAGAGACCCAAGCCUUCUAAAUCCUAUCUAUCCUGUCCCCUCUUUCUCCCCAGGAGUUUGGGUGACCAGGAGGAAAGUUAAUUCUGAAGCAGGAAAUUUGAAGACCAAACUUGAGAGACAGGACAUGUUUUUUUUCCAGGAUGGUAACAUGGUCCACCUGAAAAGAUUUGGACAAACUCAUCCUAGCCAGAUUAGGAAGAUAAUCCAAAAUGGCAUCUCCUUAUCCCAUCACACCCAACCCUGAAAUUGACCCUCAUGACCUCUAUAUUCACACUUCAAGCCGUUUGGAUCCUGAGCUGCUCGGGGGACAAAAUUUGGCUCAGAGAGAGCCUUAAAAAUAUAUAAUUGGCUCUUAAAGGCACAAUUCCAGAAAAAUGGGAAAGAACAAACACAAAUGGCACAAAUACAUUCAAAGAACAUGCGCAUGUUGCCAGAAGAAAGUCACCGAGUGCAUUUGGCAGGGUUUUGCAGCAGACCGCCCUGCUGCGUUCCCUGUACCUCAGGCUGUGACACAAGCAGAGAAUUCUCCUAGGGAGGGCCUUCCCAUCUGCAGGUUGAUUUUCUGCGAUAAAUGUUUGGAAAUGUAUGCACUUAAAAUGACAAUUGGUUACUAUGAUCACCCUUCUGGAUUUAAAGGUGAUUGUACCUGUUCAGCUUCCACAUAAGUGGUGCUCCCAUGUGCGGACACAACAAAGCUUGGUCUUUGCAACUAUUUUUCUCUGUUAAGAGGACAAGGCAACCUACAUCCAUUUGAUUCUGAAAAAUUGGGGUUCAGAAAAGAAAAGAGAAGAGGCAAAGACUGGGGGAUGUACAUGUCCGAGAUUUAGGACCAAACUUGCCUCCUCUCCAAAAGAUGAUUAAGACCCGAUUUCCCAUCUUUGAAUCUAACAGACGGGCGAAUAGACGGUCACUCUACAUCCCUGCACGUUGCGUGACCGAUUGUUUCCAUUAAUGAAGACCAAGAAACCUUACGCUGUAGCAUUCCAAACCAUAAUCCUCCAGAUGUUAGAAGGAAUGUUGUCAUAGUUAGCCACUAUGCCCCCCUGAUCCUCGUGUACUCCAGUGUAUCUGCCCUUCCUUGUGUUUCCUGGCUGUCCCCUGUCCGUUGUUGUAUGUGCAUAUGUGUGUGUGUCUGUGUUCUGGCUGGCUUCCUGAUCUCCUGUCUGCUGCUGAUCACCGGCACACCUGACUUCCAUCAUCAUCAGUCUCCACCGCUUAUCUACCGGGCUCUUCCACACUACCGGCGUCAGAUCGUCUUCGUACCUGUACUCACGCUCUGCCGGUGAUCACAGCCUCAGUCUGCCCUCGGAUCUUCUGAACAUCUGUACCACGCCAACUGCCACGACACCCUCGCCAUCUGGAGCGCCGCCAGUCUCGUCUCCGACCCGGUCCGGUCGAGUCCUCGGGGCGGCCACGAACCACGCUGGAUACUUCGUACACCAACAACUAUCUGAACAAUAAAGACUGUUCCAACCUUACCCCGCUCUGUUCCAUGUGUCCUGCAUUUGGGUUCUAAAAUUGGUCUCACGACGAAUGUUUGUUAAACACACCAGUGCAGACAUGGGCAGAAGGCCUAAGGAUAAAGAGCUAGAAUGGCUCAUCCUGCUCUCUCAGCAGAGAGAUCCAGACCCAGUUUUCUGGGUUAAUGAAACCGCUCUAUCAUGCUCCCUUCCUCCUACAGCUACAAAAACUCCUACUAUGAUUCUAAAGUUUCGACUAACACUGGUGAAAGGGUCAAGAGAGGAUUGGGAUGACAGACCAGCCAGGAACUGAACCAGACAUACCUGAUGACACAACUAUAGAACAAAGAGCCUUUCAGAAGAGAAAGAAGAAGCGCUUUUUCGGCUAGCAAAAUCAUGGAAUCUAUGUUAUAUCUACUUAUUUAUUUUAACGCUUGCUGCAAUCAUAAUUUUAUUGGAAUACGCGCAGACAACGACAUACUCCUUGAGAAGAUCGGAUGUCUGUCAAUUAAGUUCGGAAGCCAAACUGGCCUCACAAAUUCACAAAAUCCAGCAUAUCCAAGAAAUACCAUGUACAAGUGCUUUCACAGACGGCGAGAACCAAACAUAGUGUUCAGAAAAAAAAUGAAACCGAAUACAGACAACACAGGAUUUGAGAAAUUAGGGAACAAGGCCUAAAUGUGACCUUAUUCAGCACUUCUGGUCAAAAUGGUAGCCUAUCAAACGUCUCCUGGGGCCCGGACACAAGGGUCUUAAGUGUUAAGAUUAACUCUUAGUUUAAUUCCUUAGUAAACACAACAAACUGUAGUUCAUCCUGGUACACAAUCUCGCAGGCUAGGCCGGUGGUUGACAACUUUGAGAAUGUAACAUUCUUUGACCUUAUGACCUCUAUUGAUGAUACUCACAUUACCACCACAUAUAGUUGGUGAGAAGGAUAAUUUUCAGUACUGUUCUUCUGAGAAAGACUCCUAUCCUUACUAGUUGGAGCUAACUUUGAGAACCAUGUUAAAAAAUAUUUUGAUAGAUCUUGACCAAGAAAUGCUACUAAUCAUCUGUGGGUGAUGGCCCACAUAUUUUGGGAGAAUAAAUAGAUACCCAACACCACUUAUGAUGCACCCUAAUCCACAUUUUGAAAAGCUUUUUCAGGGGAGACAUGACCGUUCGAUUGAUAAGAGUAAAGUUGGUAAACCACAUGGCUCUUUUACUACAGCCUUCACUGAGGCAUUACCAGAAUUUCAACUAGUCUCUCUGUGUAAAGAAUUUCUUAGACAAGCUGGGUUCAUGAGAUAGUAUGUCACAUUACUCCAGCAUAGUAUGGGAAGGUUCUGGUAGAAGACGCCCCUCGAGUUCAGAGACUCGAUGUUGGCCGUGGGUUGUAUCGUGGGGCACCACACAGCUAUUAGAGGUGCCGCAAGCGGGGUAUUUCAAACUGUAAAAAAUUGGGGUGAAUCAACUUUUGGGAAAAUUAGCGAUGCUAUAAUAGCCCCAUUUAGGUGGGUAAAGGGGAUAAUAUCUGCUCUUAUCUUCAUAUUAGUAGUCGCAAUUGUUGGUGUAUUGCAUAGACAUGGCUUGCUACCUCUUGCAAGGUACAUUGGGGCUCAAAGGACUGUGGGCAUUGAUAAAAUUUAGCCUAAUUACUCUCUUUAAGCUGAUUAAAAAUGGUAUAGUUGCUUUUUUAAGCCUCAGAGACCUGUUAAAAGAGGAGCAACUGAGAACUCAGACUUUAAUACUGCCGCCUUGUAUUUUCACUUUGAUUUGUUCUAACUAGUUAGCCUUUUUUUUACAAACUCGUCAAAUUUGGUUUUCUGAGUUAUAUAUUGUUGCUUUUGAAGAUUUUUGCCUACUGUAAUUAUGGCAGAGAAUAACAGCUCUAACCAUAACAUUGAAGGAAAUCUGACCCUUAACAACGAGGAAAUCCUCGCCACCACUAAACACAUUAUACUUCAUCAUAUGGUAAGCCAGCUCCUUGCUUCUGUCAUUUUACUUUUGUGGUUAACGCAAAGGAGAGGCUGGCCACUGAUUAGAGGCCUGAUUUGUUUUUUUUGUAUGUUUCAUUGAAUGUAUAUAGAGGUUGUAACAGAGUGGUAAGUGCCUGGGUCUUGUCUAUUUAUUUAGCAUGCCUGGAACUGAAUGCUUAUUCUUUCACAGUGUGGACUACUGUUUUUAGCCUUUUUGGCAUGAUUGACUCUGCAGUUUUCCUCAUGAGUACUUCUAAGAGUUAUGCUUUUGCCAUCAUUCUAACCGAGUGUCUGAUUAUGAUCUUUGCUUUGGUUACAAUGUGGACAAUAGUUCUAAAUCUGCUAUCAGGGCCAGCAAGACAAAUAAUGAAAUCUUUAUUCUCAUCUCUGACCGUGUUCUCAGCUGGCAUCAUUGUACUCAGGAUUUUUGAGGGUGUAUUCCACCUUCCGAAACCUGGUAUAUUUCUUAUUUCUGCCUUUAUUUGGUACACGCAGGGCAGAGCUAAAUCUAGCAAGUAGUGGUUCAUAUAUUUUGCUUGUUUCGUUAUUACUUUCUUUUGGAUAAAGAGGUGGCAUGUUUUUACCCACCGUAAUUGACAUUGACUUUGGACUUGAUAACAUCCUUCCAUCCUUACCUGCUGCCCGAAGUGCAGGUCCCAUAGAUUGAGAGUACUAUUUCAAACCUGCCUGAUUGGGCUACGAGGGGUGAUUCAGUCGAGGAGAAUGCUCCAGAAACCGCAGCCGAGGAGAGUGUCACCAUUCCUCCUGACACUGAUGAGGAGUCAGACGGAGGCUACAUGUCAAUUGACCCAGUGCCGCUCCCGAACCCUCUUCCAUCGCCAAUGAGGAACCGCAGAGCAAGCGGGCUUGUAUGGAACCCUCGAUGAGUGAUUCCAAUGCUGUUUCUGAGCAGCCCACCAAUGAAGGAGAGGUACUCUCUGCACAGGCGCCAGCUGGUCAAGAUACCCCAAGUGACCAGCUGCUGAUAGCAAUUGAUCCCUGGGGGCCUCUAACCAUGUCUGUUGGGCAGCUUCCACCGCCAGAAUCUAUGACU